Molecule: ribosomal RNA, 458 nt
Filed under: uncultured bacterium
Lineage: Bacteria
Description: partial 16S ribosomal RNA
Rfam family: Bacterial small subunit ribosomal RNA
Source: RNAcentral
GACGAACGCUGGCGGCGUGCUUCAUACAUGCAAGUCGAACGAGAAGCUGACUUCGGUCAGUUGAAAGUGGCGGACGGUUGAGUAAUAUGUAGGAAAUCUGCCUUUAGUAGGUGUACAACAGAGGGAAACUUCUGCUAAUACCCCAUAUGAGCGUAGCUGAAAUGCUAUUCUUGAAAACUCCGGUGCCUAAAGAUGAGCCUGCAUCUGAUUAGCUAGUUGUUAGUGUAAUGGACUACCAAGGCGACGAUCAGUAGCUGGUUUGAGAGGAUGAGCAGCCACAAUGGGACUGAGACACGGCUCAUAAUCAUACGGGAGGCAGCAGUAGGGAAUUUUGCGCAAUGGGCGAAAGUCUGACGAAGCAACGCGGCGUGAACGAUUAAGCUCUUCGGGGUGUAAAGUCCUGUCGGUGGGCACGAAACUUGACGGUACCCAAAGAGGAAGCACCGGCUAACUUCGUG